GGGGCUGAUUCUGGAUUCGACGGGAUUUGCGAAACCCAAGGUGCAUGCCGAGGGGCGGUUGGCCUCGUAAAAAGCCGCAAAAAAAUAGUCGCAAACGACGAAAACUACGCUUUAGCAGCUUAAUAACCUGCUCUGAGCCCUCUCUCCCUAGCUUCCGCUCUUAAGACGCGUGGAAGCCCUGCCUGGGGUUGAAGCGUUAAAACUAAUCAGGCUAGUCUGGUAGUGGCGUGUCCGUCCGCAGGUGCCAGGCGAAUGUAAAGACAGACUAAGCAUGUAGUACCGAGGAUGUAGGAAUUUCGGACGCGGGUUCAACUCCCGCCAGCUCCACCA
RNAcentral lists this transfer-messenger RNA (330 nucleotides) under Klebsiella michiganensis. It matches the Rfam family "transfer-messenger RNA". From Rfam's summary of the family: Bacterial tmRNA, also known as 10Sa RNA or SsrA, is named for its dual tRNA and mRNA-like properties. Its role is to liberate the mRNA from a stalled ribosome. The record is from RNAcentral. Lineage: Bacteria; Pseudomonadati; Pseudomonadota; Gammaproteobacteria; Enterobacterales; Enterobacteriaceae.